This is a long non-coding RNA of Brassica rapa (field mustard), 1449 nucleotides long. RefSeq lists it as uncharacterized. The record is from RefSeq and is a predicted model, not a curated record. NCBI's taxonomy places the organism in Eukaryota, Viridiplantae, Streptophyta, Magnoliopsida, Brassicales, Brassicaceae.
UCUCUUUGUUCAAACUCUUGUUGUUGUUGUCCCUAUCAUGGUUAGUAGAGAUCAGGCUUCUAUUGUGAUGGUGUACAUUCAAUUAUGUGUGGAGGUAGUUAAGAAUAGUCUGAGAUCCCUUCUUAUUGCCUAGCUUGUUCUGUGACUCACAAUACAAUAACAAAAUGAGAUAUCAAAGUGGCCUACUGGUUCUUUGAGAUUAUCACAAACGACUGCCAAAAGUCGCAUGUUCGAUCACUACAAGAAAACGUAGCAGUAACAACGGCGUUUUACGAGGAAAUAAUUUCCUCGUAAAUUUACAUACGCUUUACAACGCAAUUACGACGAGACAUAACUUCGUCGUAAACUCCAUGGUAAUUUACGACGAAACGUUUUCGUCGUAAAGUCCAUGUAAGUUUACGACGAAAGUACGUGGAAUGCGAAAUAGUUGUAAACGUUACAUCGACAUUACAACGAAUCGUGUUACCGUUAUAUAAAGGUGAAAACGUAUAUUCAAUGUGCUUUAACUUACCUAAAUUCGUUGUAAACGCGUUGUAAAUUUUCUAUGUAAAAUCCAUGUAAAACUUACCAUAUUUCUCUAUAUAUAUGUCAUUUCCCACAACUCUCUUCCUCACAACACACAACUCUCUUCCUCACAACACACAACUCCUCAUUCAGCCACCAAUUACUAUUUCGAAGAUAACGAUAACGAACAUGAGUCAUUCGUCUGUCUGCCAAUUCAGUGGAGCGACAAGGAGAAAAUGGAGGGAAGUGCAGUUGGUUUAUACUUGAGUGGAACCUCCGACCAUCGCAAAGGUUCCUCUCAAGUACAAACCAGCUGCACUUCCGUCCACUUUCUCCUUGUCGUUCCACUGAAUUGGCAGACAGACGAACGACACAGGUUCCUUAUCGUUGUCUUAGAAAUAGUAAAUGGUGGGUUAACAACGCAAUUACGACGAACCCAACGAAACCAAAUUUCGUCGUAAACGCCAUGUAAUAUUACGACGUAAGUACGUCGAAAAGAAAACUUUACAUCGAUAUUACAACGAAUCAUGUUACCGUUAUAUUUAGGUGAAAAACUUAUCGAAGUUCGUUGUAAAGUCGUUGUAAAAAAAUAUGUAAAAUCCAUGUAAAAGUUUCCUUGUAAAAUCGUUGUUAUAUUUCAACUACCCAACUCGAAAAUUUCUCUAUAUAUAUGUCAUUUCCCACAACUUUCUUCCUCACAACACACAACUCUCUUCCUCACAAGACCCAAACGGAAAAAAAAAAUUUAAAAAAAAAAUAGAAGAAAAAAUGGUCGGUGGCGGUAGUAUUUACGAGUUACGAAGUUGGAUGUAUUUGCACAAAGAUUCGGACGGGAGAGUGACGAAUGCAUUUCUGAACGGGCUAGAGACAUUCGUGCACCAGGCGGGCUGUACACCGAUCACGCAGGAAAGCGGUAAGAUGUUCUGCCCCUGCAAGAAGGAGUUA